GAUGAACGCUAGCUACAGGCUUAACACAUGCAAGUCGAGGGGAAACGAUGAGAGAGCUUGCUCUCUUAGGCGUCGACCGGCGCACGGGUGAGUAACGCGUAUCCAACCUACCCAUUACAGGGGGAUAACCUUGCGAAAGUAAGACUAAUACCCCAUGGCAUUUUAUGGUGGCAUCAUUAUAGGAUUAAAGAUUUAUUGGUAAUGGAUGGGGAUGCGUCUGAUUAGCUUGUUGGCGGGGUAACGGCCCACCAAGGCAACGAUCAGUAGGGGUUCUGAGAGGAAGGUCCCCCACAUUGGAACUGAGACACGGUCCAAACUCCUACGGGAGGCAGCAGUGAGGAAUAUUGGUCAAUGGGCGAGAGCUUGAACCAGCCAAGUAGCGUGCAGGAUGACGGCCCUAUGGGUUGUAAACUGCUUUUAUAGGGGAAUAAAGUGAGCUACGUGUAGUUUAUUGCAUGUACCCGAUGAAUAAGGACCGGCUAAUUCCGUG
This 490-nucleotide ribosomal RNA is filed under the name uncultured bacterium. RNAcentral describes it as "partial 16S ribosomal RNA". It matches the Rfam family "Bacterial small subunit ribosomal RNA", at positions 28 to 507 of the family's 1533-position model. The record is from RNAcentral.